AGUAGGUGCAACAACUUGCGCAUGCGCCUUUUAAGCUUUUACGCAUAGAGUCCUUUAGUUGUUCUUCCUGGGCACCCAACACUUUCCUGACAGACUAUUCUUUUAUUUAUUGCAGAUAUUUAAUAAGACACUUAGUGCGCAGAGUUCAAAGGAGAUCCGGUCAGUUCGACUUUGGACUCGCCCGAGGUAAAGACGCGGCCUUAGCAGCCCAGGCGUUGAUCGCCUUAGAGAAAGCGAACGACCCCAAGGGCGCUGGACGUAGGAAACGCCCCGAAGGAGACCAAUUCGAGUUUUAAGGCCCUUAAUUACUCACAAUAUAAAAUUUAUUAUUAAUAAAUUAUUGAAUUUUG
Long non-coding RNA from Anthonomus grandis grandis, 350 nucleotides. RefSeq lists it as uncharacterized. NCBI's taxonomy places the organism in Eukaryota, Metazoa, Arthropoda, Insecta, Coleoptera, Curculionidae. The record is from RefSeq and is a predicted model, not a curated record. The transcript is spliced from 2 exons.